Molecule: transfer RNA, 76 nt
Filed under: Pyrodictium occultum
Lineage: Archaea; Thermoproteati; Thermoproteota; Thermoprotei; Desulfurococcales; Pyrodictiaceae
Also listed under: 7 other names
Description: tRNA-Asn
Rfam family: tRNA
About the family: Transfer RNA (tRNA) molecules are approximately 80 nucleotides in length. Their secondary structure includes four short double-helical elements and three loops (D, anti-codon, and T loops). Further hydrogen bonds mediate the characteristic L-shaped molecular structure. tRNAs have two regions of fundamental functional importance: the anti-codon, which is responsible for specific mRNA codon recognition, and the 3' end, to which the tRNAs corresponding amino acid is attached (by aminoacyl-tRNA synthetases). tRNAs cope with the degeneracy of the genetic code in two manners: having more than one tRNA (with a specific anti-codon) for a particular amino acid; and 'wobble' base-pairing, i.e. permitting non-standard base-pairing at the 3rd anti-codon position.
Source: RNAcentral
GCCGCCGUAGCUCAGCGGGUAGAGCGCCGGGCUGUUAACCCGGUGGUCGGUGGUUCGAAUCCACCCGGCGGCGCCA